AUGCUCUGGGCUACACGCGCGCUACAAAGGCCAGGACAAUGGGUCUGCCACUUCGAGAGAAGGCGCUAUCCCGAAACCUGGUCGUAGUUCGGAUCGUGGGCUGUAAUUCGCCCACGUGAAGCUGGAUUUCGUAGUAAUCGCGUCUCAAAAUGGCGCGGUGAAUAUGCCCCUGCUCCUUGCACACACCGCCCGUCAAACCAUCUUAGUUUGGGGUGGGUGAGGCUGCCUUUUAAUGGGGUAUUCGAGCCUGCCUUAGACAAGGAGGGUUAAGUCGUAACAAGGUAUCUGUAGGGGAACCUGCAGAUGGAUCACCUCCU
This 317-nucleotide ribosomal RNA is filed under the name Candidatus Thalassarchaeaceae archaeon. RNAcentral describes it as "bacterial SSU rRNA". It matches the Rfam family "Archaeal small subunit ribosomal RNA", at positions 1160 to 1478 of the family's 1478-position model. Lineage: Archaea; Methanobacteriati; Thermoplasmatota; Candidatus Poseidoniia; Candidatus Poseidoniales; Candidatus Thalassarchaeaceae. The record is from RNAcentral.